CUGGCGGCGUGCCUAAUACAUGCAAGUCGAACGGUCUUUCUAUGGAAGCUUGCUUCCACUGAGAAGAUAGUGGCGAACGGGUGAGUAACACGUGGGUAACCUGCCCAUAAGAGGGGGGAUAACAUCCGGAAACGGGUGCUAAUACCGCAUAGUUUUCUUGAUUGCAUGAUUGAGAAAGGAAAGACGGCCUUUGUGCUGUCGCUUAUGGAUGGACCCGCGGCGUAUUAGUUAGUUGGUGAGGUAACGGCUCACCAAGACGAUGAUACGUAGCCGACCUGAGAGGGUGAUCGGCCACAUUGGGACUGAGACACGGCCCAAACUCCUACGGGAGGCAGCAGUAGGGAAUCUUCCGCAAUGGACGAAAGUCUGACGGAGCAACGCCGCGUGAGUGAAGAAAAGGUUUUCGGAUCGUAAAACUCUGUUGUCAGAGAAGAACAAGUUGGAGAGUAACUGCUCCAGCCUUGACGGUAUCUGACCAGAAAGCCACGGCUAACUACGUGCCAGCCGCAGC
Molecule: ribosomal RNA, 511 nt
Filed under: uncultured bacterium
Lineage: Bacteria
Description: bacterial SSU rRNA
Rfam family: Bacterial small subunit ribosomal RNA
Source: RNAcentral